RNAcentral lists this ribosomal RNA (460 nucleotides) under uncultured bacterium. RNAcentral describes it as "partial 16S ribosomal RNA". It matches the Rfam family "Bacterial small subunit ribosomal RNA", at positions 338 to 795 of the family's 1533-position model. The record is from RNAcentral.
CCUACGGGGGGCAGCAGUGAGGAAUAUUGGUCAAUGGACGAGAGUCUGAACCAGCCAAGUAGCGUGAAGGAUGAAUGCCCUAUGGGUUGUAAACUUCUUUUAUAUGGGAAUAAAGUGUUCCACGUGUGGGUUUUUGUAUGUACCAUAUGAAUAAGGAUCGGCUAACUCCGUGCCAGCAGCCGCGGUAAUACGGAGGGUCCGAGCGUUAUCCGGAUUUAUUGGGUUUAAAGGGAGCGUAGGUGGAUUGUUAAGUCAGUUGUGAAAGUUUGCGGCUCAACCGUAAAAUUGCAGUUGAAACUGGCAGGCUUGAGUACAGUAGAGGUGGGCGGAAUUCGUGGUGUAGCGGUGAAAUGCGUAGAUAUCACGAAGAACUCCGAUUGCGAAGGCAGCCCACUGGACGGAAACUGACACUGAGGCUCGAAAGUGUGGGUAUCAAACAGGAUUAGAUACCCUUGUAGUC